GCUGGGCAUAGUGGUACAUGCCUGUAGUCCCAGCUACUCGGGAGGCUGAGAUGGGAGGAUAGCUUGAGCCCAGGAGUUCUGGGCUGUGGCGAGCUAUGCUGAUGGAAUAUCUGCACUAUGCUCCACAUCAAUAUGGUGACCCGGGAACAGGAUGCCACCAGGUUGCCUAAGGAGGAAUGAAUCGGCGCAAGUCAGAAACGGAGCAGGUCAAAAUUCCCAUGCUGAUUAGUAGCGGGUUCAUGCCUGUGAAUCACCACUGCACUCUAGUCUGGGCAAUAUAGGGAGACCUUGUCUUUU
Macaca fascicularis (crab-eating macaque) is the source of this 297-nucleotide unclassified non-coding RNA. It matches the Rfam family "Metazoan signal recognition particle RNA". Rfam says of the family: The signal recognition particle (SRP) is a universally conserved ribonucleoprotein. It is involved in the co-translational targeting of proteins to membranes. The record is from Ensembl. NCBI's taxonomy places the organism in Eukaryota, Metazoa, Chordata, Mammalia, Primates, Cercopithecidae.